UCUUUUUUUUGACAACUUCGUGUUGCUGCGAAUCCCUAACGUUUUUUACAUUUUGGGGCCCCACGGUGGUUAAAUAAAUCGAUUAUUAUUCGCGAAGCCUCCGAUUCGAUGUGAUACGAAAUUCUCCACCUUCGCAAUGAUCAUUUUGCAAUUAGACGAGCAACCGAUGCUCAUUCAAGCCGUUUUCGCCGGCGAAAUAGACACGGUUAGGAAGCUGUUCGAAUCAAAAAGAUCAAACUGGGCAAUUAAAAUACAUUAAUAAACAAUUUGAAGAGUAUAAAAAGAUGUAUAACGAAGAAAAAUUGUGUCGCUUAAGAUCGGAUCUUUUUAAAUCUAAAGAUAGACUCGAAGAGUUAGAAAAACAGAACGGAGAGUAAAUACCCUUUUAA
This 389-nucleotide long non-coding RNA is filed under the name Onthophagus taurus. RNAcentral describes it as "uncharacterized LOC111423413, transcript variant X2". Lineage: Eukaryota; Metazoa; Arthropoda; Insecta; Coleoptera; Scarabaeidae. The record is from RNAcentral.